UUUGAUUUUAAAGGUUGGAAUAUGGAAUGCAGAGAUUCUAGAUAAGAUUAUUAGAGAGGGAAACGGACAUGGAGAGGGGUAAGUUUAUCAUAUAGAGAAAGAUCAGCUAGGAUGUGAAUAAGGAGGGAUUUGGAAGAGUUAAGAUGCGGGAUUUGGAUAGAGAGGAUUGAUUGUUAAUAAUAAUUAUAUAACAAAAUUUGCUUUGUGAAUCAGGUAAUAUGAGUUUGUUUUGGGAAUCAAAUAAUAUUCCAUGCACGGGCAUAAAUGGCGACAAAUUCAAAAGACCUCCACAUCCUUUUUAGUAUGGUAUAGAUAUAUAAACAUGUCAUGUUUUGAAGGAGUUUGAUAGCUACGAGAAAAUUUCUUUCCAUAUAUAGGAAAUCUAUUAAGAUCUUUUCUUGCCAACAAAAGUCCAAUAGCAGCUUUAAUUUUUGAAUUACAAUCAAGAAGUACCACAAGGAAGGUUGGUCCGGUAGAUUAUGCAAAAGUUACUGCAAAAUCUUGGUAGUGUGAAUGGAGGACCACCAUAAUGUGACUAGUCAACUGAAAUUGUUAGUGCAUCAACUUGUGAGUAAUAAUGGAAUCUUAUUAGGCAAGGCUAAAAACUUGAUUGAUGGACUCAUUUCAUGGUGGUUACCACGAUUAGUCCCAUCAUGAAAGGAUUUAGGAAGAUGUGGUUCCAAGAG
RNAcentral lists this long non-coding RNA (686 nucleotides) under Phoenix dactylifera (date palm). Its description in RNAcentral is "long non-coding RNA (PDAC_LNC001662)". Lineage: Eukaryota; Viridiplantae; Streptophyta; Magnoliopsida; Arecales; Arecaceae. The record is from RNAcentral.